CCGCACUGCCAAGUGACUGGACUUCCUCUAUCGUGGUUUUCCAAUCUCAUUCCAGUGCCAGAGCGAUCCUCAGUUUGCAGAAGGGUUGAGCUAAACCAAUGGUUCCCCCCUUUCGAAGGCUGAGAACAUUA
Molecule: small nucleolar RNA, 131 nt
Organism: Cynoglossus semilaevis (tongue sole)
Lineage: Eukaryota; Metazoa; Chordata; Actinopteri; Pleuronectiformes; Cynoglossidae
Source: Ensembl